RNAcentral lists this ribosomal RNA (366 nucleotides) under uncultured bacterium. Its description in RNAcentral is "bacterial SSU rRNA". It matches the Rfam family "Bacterial small subunit ribosomal RNA", at positions 568 to 898 of the family's 1533-position model. The record is from RNAcentral.
CGCGUAGGCGGAUAUUUAAGUCGGAUGUGAAAUCCCUGGGCUUAACCUAGGAAUUGCAUUCGAUACUGAAUGACUAGAGUAUGGUAGAGGAAAGUGGAAUUCUCGGUGUAGUGGUAAAAUACGUAGAUAUCGAGAAGAACACCGGUGGCGAAGGCGGCUUUCUGGACCAAUACUGACGCUGAGGCGCGAAAGCGUGGGGAGCAAACAGGAUUAGAUACCCUGGUAGUCCACGCUGUAAACGAUGAGAACUAGAUGUCAGAAGACAGAUCAUAGUGGUUUAAUGUUUUAAACCAUUACGAUCUGUCCUCUGGUAUCGCAGCUAACGCGUUAAGUUCUCCGCCUGGGGAGUACGGUCGCAAGAUUAAA